GCCGGGUGUCGUGGUGGGCGCCUGUAAUCCCAGCUACUCAGGAGGCUGAGGCUGGAGAAUCGCUUGAACUCUGGGGCGGAGGUUGCAGUGAGCCGAGUUUGCACCACUGCACCCCAGCCUGGACGAGAGUGAGACUCUGUCUCAAACAAACAAAAAAGUCCUUUUAGUCAUAGGAAUAGCUAUAUAUAAUUUAUUUUUUUGAGAUGAAGUUUUGCUCUUGUUGCCCAGGCUGGAGUGCAAUGACGCAGUCUCGACUCACCGCAACCUCUGCCUCCCGGGUUCAAGCGAUUCUCCUGC
Molecule: long non-coding RNA, 297 nt
Filed under: Homo sapiens (human)
Lineage: Eukaryota; Metazoa; Chordata; Mammalia; Primates; Hominidae
Description: non-protein coding lnc-KMT2A-1:1
Source: RNAcentral